GAGGAAUAUUGGUCAAUGGACGGAAGUCUGAACCAGCCAAGUAGCGUGCAGGAUGACGGCCCUAUGGGUUGUAAACUGCUUUUGUAUGGGGAUAAAGUUAGGGACGUGUCCCUAUUUGCAGGUACCAUACGGAUAAGGACCGGCUAAUUCCGUGCCAGCAGCCGCGGUAAUACGGAAGGUCCAGGCGUUAUCCGGAUUUAUUGGGUUUAAAGGGAGCGUAGGCUGGAGAUUAAGUGUGUUGUGAAAUGUAGACGCUCAACGUCUGAAUUGCAGCGCAUACUGGUUUCCUUGAGUACGCACAACGUUGGCGGAAUUCGUCGUGUAGCGGUGAAAUGCUUAGAUAUGACGAAGAACUCCGAUUGCGAAGGCAGCUGACGGGAGCGCAACUGACGCUGAAGCUCGAAGGUGCGGGUAUCGAACAGGAUUAGAUACCCUGGUAGUCCGCACAGUAAACGAUGGAUGCCCGCUGUUGGUACCUGGUAUCAGCGGCUAAGCGAAAGCAUUAAGCAUCCCACCUGGGGAGUACGCCGGCAACGGUG
This 539-nucleotide ribosomal RNA is filed under the name uncultured bacterium. RNAcentral's name for it is "bacterial SSU rRNA". It matches the Rfam family "Bacterial small subunit ribosomal RNA", at positions 356 to 896 of the family's 1533-position model. The record is from RNAcentral.